Molecule: small RNA, 58 nt
Filed under: Helianthus annuus (common sunflower)
Lineage: Eukaryota; Viridiplantae; Streptophyta; Magnoliopsida; Asterales; Asteraceae
Source: RNAcentral
CACUGGUCGAGAGUUAGCACCGCUCUUAUGAUGAGUCCAAGGCAGGACGAAACCAGUG